Molecule: ribosomal RNA, 500 nt
Filed under: fungal endophyte
Lineage: Eukaryota; Fungi
Description: eukaryotic LSU rRNA
Rfam family: 5.8S ribosomal RNA (bases 185-338)
Source: RNAcentral
UCCGCUCUCUAACCCUUUGUGAACAUACCUACCACUGUUGCUUCGGCGGGUAGGCCGUCCCCUGAAAAGGACGCCUCCCGGCCCGGACCGGACCCCCCGCGGGACCGGACCCGGCGCCCGCCGGAGGAUAACCAAACUCUAUUGUAACGACGUUUCUUCUGAGUGGCAUAAGCAAAAUAAUCAAAACUUUUAACAACGGAUCUCUUGGUUCUGGCAUCGAUGAAGAACGCAGCGAAAUGCGAUAAGUAAUGUGAAUUGCAGAAUUCAGUGAAUCAUCGAAUCUUUGAACGCACAUUGCGCCCGCCAGCAUUCUGGCGGGCAUGCCUGUUCGAGCGUCAUUUCAACCCUCAAGCUCUGCUUGGUGUUGGGGCUCUACGGUCGACGUAGGCCCUCAAAGGUAGUGGCGGACCCUCCCGGAGCCUCCUUUGCGUAGUAACAUUUCGUCUCGCACUGGGAUCCGGAGGGACUCUUGCCGUAAAACCCCCCGAUUUUCCAAAGGU